CCCUUAGAUGUUCUGGGCUGCACGCGCGCUACACUGAUGCGCUCAACGAGUUUACGACCUUGCCCGGAAGGGUUGGGUAAUCUUUUUAAAACGCAUCGUGAUGGGGAUAGAUUAUUGCAAUUAUUAAUCUUUAACGAGGAAUUCCUAGUAAGCGCGAGUCAUCAGCUCGUGCUGAUUACGUCCCAGCCCUUUGUACACACCGCCCGUCGCACCUACCGAUUGGAUGGUCCGGUGAAGCCUCGGGAUUGUGGUUCUUGCCGCUUUAUUGUGGCGUGACCGCGAGAACUUGUCUAAACCUUAUCAUCUAGAGGAAGGUGAAGUCGUAACA
This 328-nucleotide ribosomal RNA is filed under the name uncultured eukaryote. RNAcentral describes it as "partial 18S ribosomal RNA". It matches the Rfam family "Eukaryotic small subunit ribosomal RNA", at positions 1470 to 1796 of the family's 1831-position model. The record is from RNAcentral.